AGAAACAGACCCAUCUCCCAUCUUCAUCCAAAGCUGUCCAUGCAAUUUCAGGGAGUCCAGACACAUCCUCUGUCCCUGGUUAUGAGCUCUAGAGCUCAAGAAUACCCCAAGAGCCAAUGUUUCUUGACUGGAACCCACCUCCA
Molecule: non-coding RNA, 143 nt
Organism: Callorhinus ursinus (northern fur seal)
Lineage: Eukaryota; Metazoa; Chordata; Mammalia; Carnivora; Otariidae
Source: RefSeq, a predicted model, not a curated record